This 343-nucleotide ribosomal RNA is filed under the name uncultured Erysipelothrix sp. Its description in RNAcentral is "bacterial SSU rRNA". It matches the Rfam family "Bacterial small subunit ribosomal RNA", at positions 1037 to 1381 of the family's 1533-position model. The record is from RNAcentral. Lineage: Bacteria; Bacillati; Bacillota; Erysipelotrichia; Erysipelotrichales; Erysipelotrichaceae.
GGUGGUGCAUGGUUGUCGUCAGCUCGUGUCGUGAGAUGUUGGGUUAAGUCCCGCAACGAGCGCAACCCUUGUCUUUAGUUACCAUCAUUCAGUUGGGGACUCUAGAGAGACUGCCGGUGAUAAACCGGAGGAAGGUGGGGAUGACGUCAAAUCAUCAUGCCCCUUAUGGCCUGGGCUACAAACGUAAUACAAUGGCGUAUACAAAGGGAUGCGAAAGGGCGACCUGGAGCAAAACUCACAAAGUACGUCUCAGUUCAGAUUGGAGUCUGCAACUCGACUCCAUGAAGGCGGAAUCGCUAGUAAUCGCGGAUCAGCAUGCCGCGGUGAAUACGUUCUCGGGUUU